This 776-nucleotide ribosomal RNA is filed under the name uncultured Neocallimastigales. RNAcentral describes it as "partial large subunit ribosomal RNA". It matches the Rfam family "Eukaryotic large subunit ribosomal RNA", at positions 23 to 635 of the family's 3401-position model. The record is from RNAcentral. Lineage: Eukaryota; Fungi; Neocallimastigomycota; Neocallimastigomycetes; Neocallimastigales.
UGAGACUCUGUGCGCGUGCAUAUCAAUAAGCGGAGGAAAAGAAACUAACAAGGAUUCCCUUAGUAACGGCGAGUGAAGCGGGAAGAGCUCAAAUUUGAAAUCUUCAAGGUCCUACCUUGACGAAUUGUAGUUUAUAGAAGUGUUUUCUGUAGUGGAGUUUGGUAAAAGUUCUUUGGAAUAGGACAUCAUAGAGGGUGAGAAUCCCGUAUUUGACCAUUAUUUUCAGCUGUGUGAUACACUUUCAAAGAGUCGGAUUGUUUGGGAAUGCAGUCCAAAAUGGGUGGUAAAUUUCAUCUAAAGCUAAAUAUUGGCGAGAGACCGAUAGCGAACAAGUACCGUGAGGGAAAGAUGAAAAGAACUUUGAAAAGAGAGUUAAACAGUACGUGAAAUUGUCAAAAGGGAAGCGUUUGACACCAGUGUUGUUUUUCCGAAAAUCAAUUACGAAUGUUUUAUUUUUGAGGAGUUAUGACUUCAUCGGCUUGCUCCUUUCUUUAUGAAACUUUCUUAAUGCACUUUUCGGUUAACAAGUCAACAUCAAUUUCUUUUGUUGUAAAAGGGUAUGAGGAAGGUGGCUUUCUUUUCGGAGAAAGUGUUUAUAGCCUUGUGCCUCUGCAAUCGGAGAGAUUGAGGUCUGCAGCGUAGAUCCUUCGGGGUUAGAUACGUUUGUGCUAAGUUAUAGCUUUUCAUAGACAACUUGUUGACUAUGUUUAGUCUUGUAGCUUACUCGCUGACGCUAUUUUACCUACGCUUAGGAUGUUGACAGCAGUAUAGACUGU